GACGAACGCUGGCGGCGUGCCUAAUACAUGCAAGUCGAACGCAGUGGGGACGGGUGAGUAACACGUGGGUAACCUCCCAUCAGAGGGGAUAACACUUGGAAACAGGUGCUAAACCGAUCCUGAUGGAUGGACCCGAGGUGCAUUAGCUAGUUGGUGAGGUAACGGCUCACCAAGGCCACGAUUCAUAGCUGACCUGAGAGGGUGCGCGGCCACAAGGGGACUGAGACACGGCCCAGACCUCUACGGGUGGCAGCAGUAGGGAAUCGUCGUCAAUGUACGAAAGUCUGACCGAGCAACGCCGCGUGAGUGAAGAAGGUUUUCGGAACGUAAAACUCUUUUGUUAGAGAAGCGUUAUCUAACCAGAAAGCCACGGCUAACUACGUGCCAGCAGCCGCGGUAAUAC
This 403-nucleotide ribosomal RNA is filed under the name uncultured bacterium. RNAcentral describes it as "partial 16S ribosomal RNA". It matches the Rfam family "Bacterial small subunit ribosomal RNA", at positions 28 to 526 of the family's 1533-position model. The record is from RNAcentral.